AACGAACGUUAGCGGCGCGCCUAAUACAUGCAAGUCGUGCGAGAAAGGGCUUCGGCCCGCGUAAAGCGGCGCACGGGUGAGUAACACGUAGAUCAUCUCCCCUCGAGUGGUGGGAGUAAACCCCUCCCGAAAGGAGGACUAAUACAGCAUGAGACCACGACCUCGCCGAGGUCGCGGCCAAAGCAGGCCACUACAUGUAAGCUUGCGCUUGAGGAUGAGUCUGCGGCCCAUCAGCUAGUUGGUAGGGUAAUGGCCUACCAAGGCAAAGACGGGUAGCUGGUCUGAGAGGAUGAACAGCCACACUGGAACUGAGACACGGUCCAGACUCCUACGGGAGGCAGCAGUAGGGAAUCUUGCGCAAUGGACGAAAGUCUGACGCAGCGACGCCGCGUGAGCGAUGAAGGCCUUCGGGUUGUAAAGCUCUGUGGGGUAGGGAAA
Molecule: ribosomal RNA, 438 nt
Filed under: uncultured bacterium
Lineage: Bacteria
Description: bacterial SSU rRNA
Rfam family: Bacterial small subunit ribosomal RNA
Source: RNAcentral